This 518-nucleotide ribosomal RNA is filed under the name uncultured bacterium. RNAcentral describes it as "bacterial SSU rRNA". It matches the Rfam family "Bacterial small subunit ribosomal RNA", at positions 15 to 518 of the family's 1533-position model. The record is from RNAcentral.
GAUCAUGGCUCAGGAUGAACGCUGGCGGCGUGCCUAACACAUGCAAGUCGAACGGAGAUUGACGCUGCAGAGACUUCGGUCAAAGCUUGUAAAUCUUAGUGGCGGACGGGUGAGUAACGCGUGGGCAACCUGCCUCGUACUGGGGGAUAACAGUUGGAAACGACUGUUAAUACCGCAUAAGCGCACGGUACCGCAUGGUACAGUGUAGAAAAACUCCGGUGGUACGAGAUGGGCCCGCGUCAGAUUAGCCAGUUGGUGGGGUAACGGCCUACCAAAGCAACGAUCUGUAGCCGGACUGAGAGGUCGGACGGCCACAUUGGGACUGAGACACGGCCCAAACUCCUACGGGAGGCGGCAGUGGGGGAUAUUGCACAAUGGGCGAAAGCCUGAUGCAGCGACGCCGCGUGAGUGAAGAAGUAUUUCGGUAUGUAAAGCUCUAUCAGCAGGGAAGAAAGACUCGUAAGAGAGAUGACGGUACCUGACUAAGAAGCCCCGGCUAACUACGUGCCAGCCGCAGC